This is a long non-coding RNA of Mytilus trossulus (common blue mussel), 716 nucleotides long. RefSeq lists it as uncharacterized. The record is from RefSeq and is a predicted model, not a curated record. Lineage: Eukaryota; Metazoa; Mollusca; Bivalvia; Mytilida; Mytilidae. The transcript is spliced from 3 exons.
GGAUAAUUAAAGAAUGCCACGUGUAUUGAUGAUGAGCAGAAGGCUCUCAUCUAAUUUAAGUGUCUAUAAUGAUGAUCUUUGUUUGCAGUAAGUAAGAGUUGCGGUUCUUACCUCUGAUUUAAACAUAUCCCAAAGUGUUUUCAAAUUUUUGAUCUGAUGUUUUGGCAGAUGUAAAUGUAUGAAAUUUUUGGACCAUGUACAUAGUGUGGAAAUUUACAAUUAAUUUAGAAGCAACCAGAAUGUUUAUAUUUAGCAAAAUCGGUACUUGUGUAUAUCUAUAUAAUCUAUGAAGGAACAUAUUUGCUGAUAAUCUUGGACUUGCAAAGGAUGGAUGGAUGGAUUUUUUCAUGUGGAUUAAAAUUGACUUUUGAAGUAUUCCUAAUAUGUGGAUUAAAUAAGAUAUCCAAAUCUUUUUAAUGUGAAAUGGAAAAGGACAAAGUAUGAGUUCUAAUAUGUGAAUUAAAACUGAUGGAUAAUUUGUUAUAGAGCAAGCAUAUAUCAUGGAGAGUUUAUAGCUGUUAACUAUAAAAAUCAACAGAAAAAGUGAUUUUAGACUGAUGUGAUUUAAUAAAUUGGUAUUUAUCAAAGAUAUUUUCUUUAUGAACUUUAAUUUUGUUGGAUUUCUCUUAUUCAUUUUAUCUUUAUUUCUACUUCGAGCAGCUAGUGUUUUCCUUUUACACAGUUCAACUUCAAGUAUAUGUUUAAUUAUUGUGUUU